Long non-coding RNA from Myxocyprinus asiaticus (Chinese sucker), 713 nucleotides. RefSeq lists it as uncharacterized. The transcript has 3 exons. The record is from RefSeq and is a predicted model, not a curated record. Lineage: Eukaryota; Metazoa; Chordata; Actinopteri; Cypriniformes; Catostomidae.
GUUUCCCAUCAGGGCCAGGUGGUCCCUCUCUGCCUUUCUCCCCUCGGAAGCCCUGCGUUCAAACACUUGUGACAAGGAGGAGGGCGUGGCCGGGCCGUGAUGAUGCACUGAAUCAGCUGAUCAGCGGGAGAGCGAGAUAACAGGGAGCUGGAGACGCCAGUUUGAGAGAGAGAGAGAGACGCAUGCGGCCACGUUGCAUGUGUGUCUGUGUUUGUUUAUGUUUUUUAUUAAACUUUAUGAUUACUGUUCAGCCAGUUCCUGCCUCCUCCUCGCCCAUCCUUUAUCUGUUACAGUGGUGCCGAAACCAGGGAGGGAGGAGGGAUGUACUGUCACGGAGUCCUCGCCACUGCCACCCCCCAGUGGAGCAGCUGCAGCCGUCUGCCUGGGUACGGAAGGGUCGCUGCCGUCCGCCGAGAGCCGGAGGAACCGCGGCUGUCCGCCAAAGAAGGGGAGGAGCAGUUCCAUCCGCCAGGGGCCGGAGGACUCACUGCCGUCCCCCGGUGGAGGAGCGAGUUGGUGUCUGCCAGAGGGCGGAGGAGCGGUUGAGGACCGAGCGACAGCACGUCAUGGAGCCGGGUGCUGGUGCAGGUGAAGGUGACGGAUUUGUCUGCUCCAUUAAUGGUCACGACAACCUGUUUGACCCCGUCCUGAGACAACACCCUCAAAAGGUCAAACUUCAUCCGGUGAGCUGGGUUCUUUAAGCGCAGUGUGGC